GCACAGUCCAUACGCAAUGGCCGGCGCCGACACGUCGAGAGUUGAGCGCAGAAACUUACAAGAAAAUUGCCCGGAUCUGAGGUCCGGGCAAUUCGU
This 96-nucleotide small RNA is filed under the name Sinorhizobium meliloti 2011. RNAcentral's name for it is "putative ncRNA". The record is from RNAcentral. Lineage: Bacteria; Pseudomonadati; Pseudomonadota; Alphaproteobacteria; Hyphomicrobiales; Rhizobiaceae.